Molecule: small RNA, 116 nt
Filed under: Marmota monax (woodchuck)
Lineage: Eukaryota; Metazoa; Chordata; Mammalia; Rodentia; Sciuridae
Source: RNAcentral
GCUGGGUAUGGUAGUACACAUCUGUAGUUAUAGCUACUCAGGAGGCUGAGGUAGGAGGAUCACUUCAGUCCAGGAGUUCUAGACCAGCCUGGGCAGCAUAUGAAACCCCAUCUCAA